CUACGGGAGGCACCAGUGAGGAAUAUUGCACAAUGGGGGGAACCCUGAUGCAGCAACGCCGCGUGGAGGAUGACGCAUUUCGGUGUGUAAACUCCUUUUAUAUGUCAAGAAAAUGACGGUAGCAUAUGAAUAAGCACCGGCUAACUCCGUGCCAGCAGCCGCGGUAAUACGGAGGGUGCAAGCGUUACUCGGAAUCACUGGGCGUAAAGGACGCGUAGGCGGGUUGGAAAGUCAGGUGUGAAAUCCUACAGCUUAACUGUAGAACUGCACUGGAAACUUCUAAUCUAGAGUAUGGGGGGGGAGAUGGAAUUAGGGGUGUAGGGGUAAAAUCCGUAGAUAUCACUAGGAAUACCUAAAGCGAAGGCGAUCUCCUGGAACAUUACUGACGCUAAGGCGUGAAAGCGUGGGGAGCAAACAGGAUUAGAUACCCCCGUAGUC
Molecule: ribosomal RNA, 438 nt
Filed under: uncultured bacterium
Lineage: Bacteria
Description: partial 16S ribosomal RNA
Rfam family: Bacterial small subunit ribosomal RNA
Source: RNAcentral